Long non-coding RNA from Neoarius graeffei (lesser salmon catfish), 633 nucleotides. RefSeq lists it as uncharacterized. The transcript is spliced from 3 exons. The record is from RefSeq and is a predicted model, not a curated record. Lineage: Eukaryota; Metazoa; Chordata; Actinopteri; Siluriformes; Ariidae.
AGCAGAGAGUGAAAGUGAAAGUCAGCAGCUCCGUAUGGUGUGGAGGAGAAAACGAACCUUUUCAGGACUAAAACCCGAAUGAUGGAGGGAAAGGGAUCAGACUCACCAGAACCCAGCUGUGUGUCCAUGAAGAGUGACGGGUCAAUGAAACGCCCAAUUCUCUUCAGAGACAGAGACAGUCCUGCUGAUCUGAGUAAGCCAACUGGUGGCUCACUGUAAUGGUCAAAACUUUCUUGUAUUAAAUGUAAUGAAGAGAGAUCCUUGGGUGACUGCAGUACUAGCUGGAACUGACUCAUGGCAAUUCUUCACUCUGCUUCAUAUUGAUGGCUCCUUUUUGGACAGGCCUGUUGAAGAGUGGGCCGAAAAUGAUAGCUGUCUGAAAGGUAAAGAGAUAGUAGAUGCAUUAUGAGUGUCAAAUGACAGUGCUGAGAGAGGAGUCAAGCUUGCAGCAGACUUUCUGCAGUCUUCAAAGAAUGAGGACAAAUACCAACAGAUUUUGCAAGUGGUUGAAAAUGACAGGAAGAAUGUUCCAGACCAGCGUAAACGACAAAAGUGCCUAGAUCCGGAAACUUGGAGCUUAAUACUAGAUUAAAUGACUAAAUUAUUUUCUGUCAUUUUUGAUAUUAAGUCUUU